This 472-nucleotide ribosomal RNA is filed under the name uncultured bacterium. RNAcentral's name for it is "partial 16S ribosomal RNA". It matches the Rfam family "Bacterial small subunit ribosomal RNA", at positions 28 to 507 of the family's 1533-position model. The record is from RNAcentral.
GACGAACGCUGGCGGCGUGCUUAACACAUGCAAGUCGAACGCUGAAGCUUGGUGCUUGCACUGGGUGGAUGAGUGGCGAACGGGUGAGUAAUAAGUGAGUAACCUGCCCUUGACUCUGGGAUAAGCCUGGGAAACUGGGUCUAAUACUGGAUACGACAUGUCACCGCAUGGUGGUGUGUGGAUAGGGUUUUACUGGUUUUGGAUGGGCUCACGGCCUAUCAGCUUGUUGGUGGGGUAAUGGCUCACCAAGGCGACGACGGGUAGCCGGCCUGAGAGGGUGACCGGCCACACUGGGACUGAGACACGGCCCAGACUCCUACGGGAGGCAGCAGUGGGGAAUAUUGCACAAUGGGCGGAAGCCUGAUGCAGCGACGCCGCGUGAGGGAUGACGGCCUUCGGGUUGUAAACCUCUUUCAGCACGGAAGAAGCGAAAGUGACGGUACGUGCAGAAGAAGCGCCGGCUAACUACGUG